GACGGGGACCCGCACAAGCGGUGGAUGAUGUGGAUUAAUUCGAUGCAACGCGAAAACCUUACCACCCUUGACAUGCCAGGAACUUGCCAGAGAUGGCUUGGUGCCCGAAAGGGAGCCUGGACACAGGUGCUGCAUGGCUGUCGUCAGCUCGUGUCGUGAGAUGGUUGGGUUAACGUCCCGCAACGAGCGCCAACCCUUGCCAUUAGUUGCUACAUUUAGUUGAGCACUCUAAUGGGACUGCCGGUGACAAACCGGAGGAAGGUGGGGAUGACGUCAAGUCCUCAUGGCCCUUAGUGGGUAGGGCUUCACACGUCAUACAAUGGCGGAUACAGAGGGUUGCCCAACCCGCGGAGGGGGAGCCAAUCCCAGAAAGUCCGUCGUAGUCCGGAUUGUAGUCUGCAACUCGACUACAUGAAGUCGGAAUCGCUAGUAAUCGCGGAUCAGCAUGUCGCGGUGAAUACGUUCCCGGGUCUU
This 474-nucleotide ribosomal RNA is filed under the name uncultured Nitrosomonadaceae bacterium. RNAcentral's name for it is "bacterial SSU rRNA". It matches the Rfam family "Bacterial small subunit ribosomal RNA", at positions 912 to 1382 of the family's 1533-position model. The record is from RNAcentral. Lineage: Bacteria; Pseudomonadati; Pseudomonadota; Betaproteobacteria; Nitrosomonadales; Nitrosomonadaceae.